AUGCAUCAGGAGGGGACACCACUGGACACAGGGACGGGGGACAGAGCACUGGACACAGGGACUGGACAGAGCACUGGACACAGGGACAGGACAGUGCACUGGGCACAGGGACAAGGGACAGAGCACUGGGCACAGGGACAGGGGGACAGAGCACUGGGCACAGGGACAGGACAGAGCACUGGACACAGGGACAGGGGACAGAGCACCGGACACAGGGACGGGGGACAGAGCACUGGACACAGGGACAGGAGGACAGUGCACUGGACACAGGGACAGGGGACAGAGCACUGGACACAGGGACAGGACAGAGCACUGGACACAGGGACAGGGGACAGAGCACUGGACACAGGGACGGGGGACAGAGCACUGGACACAGGGACAGGAGGACAGUGCACUGGACACAGGGACGGGGGACAGAGCACUGGACACAGGGACAGGAGGACAGAGCACUGGACACAGGGACAGGGGACAGAGCACUGGGCACAGGGACAGAGGACAGAGCACCGGGCACAGGGACAGGAGGACAGUGCACUGGACACAGGGACAGGGGACAGAGCACUGGGCACAGGGACAGAGGACAGAGCACUGGGCACAGGGACAGGGGGACAGGGCACGGGGACAGGGGACAGGGCACUGGGCACAGGGACAGGGCACUGGGCACAGGGACAGGGGACAGGGCACGGGGACAGGGGACAGGGCACUGGGCACAGGGACAGGGGGACAGGGCACGGGGACAGGGGACAGGGCACUGGGCACAGGGACAGGGCACUGGGCACAGGGACAGGGGACAGGGCACUGGGCACAGGGACAGGGGGACAGGGCACAGGGACAGGGGACAGGGCACUGGGCACAGGUACACGGAGCGUGAUAUGUAUGAAAUCCUGGAGAAACCAGGGUGGGGACACCCCGGCAGGAGCAGCCCGCAGCCAGGCAGGCAGGGAGGUCAGAGUGCGACCGAGGUGGGGCUGGGUCAGCCUGGGGCUCCCAGGGGCACACGGCGCCCACCUCCCCAGCACACACAGGAGGCAGCCGGAGGCUCCAAGGUGGGUGGAAGUCAGGGAGCAGGAGCAGGCAGCGCCGCAGGCAGGGAGAGGCCACGGAGCAGCUCCCCCAGGUCUGGCCCCUGCGCCUGUCCCACCUGCGAGACCUGAAGGAGCCGCAGGGAGCCCAGGCACCGGGAGGGCGCAGGGCCCCAAGCACAGCUCCCCUGGGUGGGGGUGCUGCUGGCUCUGUACCUCCCGGCGUCCACGCAGAAACAAAACUAACAGGGCUCCCUCCCAUCAGGGCAGCAGGCCUGGCUGA
Molecule: long non-coding RNA, 1302 nt
Filed under: Oryctolagus cuniculus (rabbit)
Lineage: Eukaryota; Metazoa; Chordata; Mammalia; Lagomorpha; Leporidae
Description: lncRNA (ENSOCUG00000031610.1)
Source: RNAcentral